AUGCUACGAUUAUUUAACAUGUUGGAAUUACCGACUGAUUUCUUUUGAUGUCAAUUUACUGGCUUACUGAGGCAAAAA
Small nucleolar RNA from Cannabis sativa, 78 nucleotides. The record is from RefSeq and is a predicted model, not a curated record. Lineage: Eukaryota; Viridiplantae; Streptophyta; Magnoliopsida; Rosales; Cannabaceae.